CGGGCGAGUUGAUUCACUUACUCACCCCCUAACGCCGAGUUCCUUUUCACUGUCUGUGGACAUUAAAAAAGCGAGCGGCGGCGGCGGGCGCCCGGGAAAGCGAACCGCCGAGCAGGCGAGCAGCGAUCGGGCAGCCAAGCGAGCGAGCAGCGCGGGUGCAGCGCGGUGACCCCAGCCCCGGCUAGCGCGGAGCAGGAGCCGGAGCCGGGCCGAUCUCCGCGCCCUCGCUGCGCUCCUCCCGGCCCCAGCCGGCCCUACCAGUGGUGGCGGCGGCGCGUCCUCCAGCGGCGGCAGUGCUGCUCACAGCGCCCGGACUUUGCAGCAACUGUGCUUGGAUAUAGUGGGCCUGGAGCUGCCCCCUCCCUCUCCUGAUACCCAGCAAUCUCAAGUCCUUAUCAGUUGCCAGAAGCCUCUGCAGGAGGAAGAGGAGGUGGCCCGUGGGUGUCAGACCAAUGCUGUGAGAGGUGUGAGGAGAGGAGCUGCCACCUGUCACUGAGCUGCAGACCUGGAAAGGUAACUAUAGACCUGUAAGCUCUGGUGGCCGUGCCAUGCCAACACCUCCAACUGAAACCUGGGCAGGGGAAAAGUGACAGGCUGGGCCAUAGCUGAGGCUGGUCACCUUCUUCCCAGCCAUUCUUGACCUGCUCCUUAUGUGGUAUCUAUCCUGCCACAAAACACUCCAGUGAGCUUCAGUUUGCCCAUUUCUAAAAUGGGUACAGGUCUUCGGUCCUGUCCUCACUCCAGUUCUUAAUGGUGUUGCAAACCGGCUGGGUCUGAUUGCUCUUUGGAGUUGAACUCUGAGGGCGUGGCCAGCAAGACCACAGGGCUUGAGAAAAGAGGACUAUCUCAGGCAGACCUGCCCAAAGAUGUGCUUCACCAGAGACAUGACUGUGGUCUCUGUCAGUCCUGGGCAGGAAUUACUAUCUGCAUGCUCAGACCAUGAGACCAAGGCACAGCAAGCUCCUGGGCCUGCCAGGAGUCACACAACAAGCUGUGACCACACCAGAACUACUCGGCUUAAUCCCAUUGCCAUAUAAACAUCCACACUUUUACCUUUACCACAUGGCACUGUCUGACCCGUCCUCCCCAGAGAAUGCAAACCACCAGCCAUCUUAAUUGUGUACCUGUGGUGGGACUCACUAUUACCCAUCUACUCACUUAUCCACGUGUCAUGCAUCCUUUCUUCUAUCUGUUCAUCCAUCUACUCACUGACCUAUCCAUUCUCCCACCCAACCACCCACCUACCUGUCCAUCUAUGCAUUCAUCCAUCCACUCAUUCACCCACCAUCCAUCCAUCCAAUCACCCAUUUCCUACUCAAUUCACUCAUCAAACACUCACUGAGUCUUGCACCAGGCCAGACCUGCUCCAAGAGGGCACAAUGUGUAAUGGAGACAGAUGUGUGGUCUCAGGGCCUGCCUCAAUUCCAUGAGGCAGGGCUCAAGGCUGUGCAGUGUCUGUGACUGCACUGGAAAGGCCAGGAGGGUCACACGCUGGUUCUGUAGGCAGGUGUUCAAGGAAGAAGAUGCAGUGCUCUUCAUUUCUUCAUUCUCCAGAGGUUUAUUGAAAAUGUCUCUGUGUCAGGAGCUCCUGAAAUUGGGGAGAAUAAAUCACAACAGGGAAUAAAUCACAAAACUCUUGUCUCAUGGCUAUCUGUUCUCAUGAAGAGAAGGACAAUAAACACCUGAAAAGUGAAGCUAUCUCUGUCAGAUGGUACUAAGUUUUAAGGAGAGAAGUUUUAAGAAGCCAGGAAACAAGCUGAACUGCCGGGUGGGGUGGGGUGCUCCAUGAUGAAGGAAAACCUCUGGUGACAUCCGAGACCUGAGUGCAAUCCAUAAUGAGCAGGGGUGCGUGGGACAUUCAAGGAAACAGCAGGGAAGCAGCGUGGGUGGUGCUCGGUUAGAGCGGGAGGUGAGCUCAGAGAGGCCGAGGGAGACUCAUGCAGGCAGCAAGCAUGGAUCAGGGAGCUCCUUUCUAGGUAGAGGUGGUGAUGGCUUGGACCCAGGAUAGCAAGCAAGAAGUGAGAAGCCAUUGAGCCUGAAUAUGUGUCCAAGACCCAGCAGAUGGGCUUGCUGUGGAUUCGAGGUAGAGGCUCACAGAAGACGAGGACAGUCAGGACAGGCUUCUGGGCCAGAGGUCAGGGGGAGAAGGGAGAUGACUAGGAGGGCAGGAUGAAGCCCAGGCAUGAUGCUUUAAUGACCAAGUGUGCAAUGGCUCUGAGCUGUCCGAGUGGAAAGCCAAGUAAGCAACUGGAUAGAUACGUCUGGAAGGCAGAGUGGUCCCAGAUAGAGAUAUAAAUUUGGGAGUUGUUCUUUGUAGCUGGUGUUGCAACCCGUGUGGCUGAUGAGGUCACCUCAAGUGUGUGUGGAGAUGGUGAGGCUGGGAACCUGAGUCUGAGUCAUGGCUAUUCAGCCUUUGGGAGAAGGACGGAUGGAGAGAAUCAGGAGAGGGGAUCAGGAAGGGUAUAGCUAGGGAGGGAAAGGAGAGCAGAAGGGCAGGCUGAGUGUCAAGAAGACGUUACUGGGCAAAGCAGGAAAGAGCAUUGCAGGCAGAGAGAACAGAGGGAAUCAUACAAGGGCUCAGAAGCCUCAAUAAAUGAGCCAGUAUUUGGAGGGGAGUGAUGAAGAGGGAGGAGGAAGCAGAGCCUUUUCCUCCCCAGCCCUGGCCACACAGAUGUGAAGGUCCUUACGUGUCUGGCUGGGCCCUGAGGCAGCCUAUGUCUAGGCCCUUCCUGUCCCCUUGGCCAGCCCUCCUGGCCCCAGCUGAGCCUCUUACACUAAUGUCUAUCCGCUUUCACACUUUCAUUUAAAAAGCUACAUCAGGGGCAGGAGGUAUGGCUUUGCAAGUGGGAAGCUCUGAGUUCAAAACCUAGUUCCACCAAAAAAAUAAAUAAAUAAUAAAAAUAAAAAUAAAAGGCUCCAUCGGGCUCUUCUGACCUCCUGCCCCGCCUCUGGGGCAGGAGGACCCCUGGCACUUCCCCCUUGCUGGGAGCACUUGUCCAAAACCCAGGGCUAAAGUAGGCAGCUCAGAUGCUGCCCACAGAGAGGAGGAACUUCUUGUUGAAUUCCUAAGCAUUCACAGAUCCUUUUUCAAAGAAAUGGCCACCUUCCUGGGCAGUGAGGGAGGGGCUGGACAGCUGGCUCACCAGUCAGAGUGCUCCCUGCCCAUUGUGUGUGCAUCUGUCUCCCCAGAGCCUUCUUCCCUUGCCUCAUCUCUGUCUUUGGUUCUGUCUCUCUGUCUCUCUUAGCAGUGUCCUCUCUGGGUCAGGACCCUUGCUGGACGGACCCCGAGGAGCAGGGUGGCCUCUGCCUCCUGAGAGCUCAG
This is a non-coding RNA of Castor canadensis (American beaver), 3322 nucleotides long. The record is from RefSeq and is a predicted model, not a curated record. NCBI's taxonomy places the organism in Eukaryota, Metazoa, Chordata, Mammalia, Rodentia, Castoridae.